GAUGAACGCUAGCGGCAGGCUUAAUACAUGCAAGUCAAGGGGGUAGCAAUACAACCGGCGCACGGGUGAGUAACGCGUACACAACAUACCAUAUACUGGAGUAUAGCUUUGGGAAACUGAAGGUAAUCCUCCAUAACAUUGCGAGAGGGCAUCUGAUUGCAAUUAAAGUUUCGGCGGUAUAUGAUUGGUGUGCGUUUGAUUAGCUAGUUGGUAGGGUAACGGCCUACCAAGGCGACGAUCAAUAGCUGGCGUGAGAGCGCGACCAGCCACACUGGAACUGAGACACGGUCCAGACUCCUACGGGAGGCAGCAGUAAGGAAUAUUGCUCAAUGGCCGAAAGGCUGAAGCAGCAACGCCGCGUGGAGGAUGAAAUACUUUAGUAUGUAAACUCCUGUAAGAGGGGAAAAUAUACAGCUAUGCUGUGUUGAUUGUACCCUCAGAGUAAGCACCGGCUAACUACGUGCCAGCAGCCGCGGUAAAGUAG
This 484-nucleotide ribosomal RNA is filed under the name uncultured bacterium. RNAcentral describes it as "bacterial SSU rRNA". It matches the Rfam family "Bacterial small subunit ribosomal RNA", at positions 28 to 530 of the family's 1533-position model. The record is from RNAcentral.